Long non-coding RNA from Nanorana parkeri, 240 nucleotides. RefSeq lists it as uncharacterized. The record is from RefSeq and is a predicted model, not a curated record. Lineage: Eukaryota; Metazoa; Chordata; Amphibia; Anura; Dicroglossidae. The transcript is spliced from 3 exons.
AAGACCUGAGGACUCCUAAACAAACUCAGCGAAUCCCACUGACUACAGCCCAGCAAUAUGGAUGGUGGUUGCCACAGGACCCCAAGGCAAAUCCAGAAAGUGCCCAUCCUUGGAUUCAGAGUACACGAUACCCCAUGAUCAAUAGUCCUAUGACCAGGUUUGUGGAUCAAAUGAAGGUGACCAACAAAGAAUUCCGUUUAUUUUAACAUCUACCAUAAAGCAUGGAUGACACCAGUAAAU